UACGUAGGGGGCAAGCGUUGUCCGGAUUUAUUGGGCGUAAAGAGCGUGUAGGCGGCCAUGUAGGUCCGUUGUGAAAACUCGAGGCUCAACCUCGAGACGCCGAUGGAAACCAUGUGGCUAGAGUCCGGAAGAGGAGAGUGGAAUUCCUGGUGUAGCGGUGAAAUGCGCAGAUAUCAGGAAGAACACCCGUGGCGAAGGCGGCUCUCUAGUACGGUACUGACGCUGAGACGCGAAAGCGUGGGGAGCGAACAGG
Molecule: ribosomal RNA, 253 nt
Filed under: uncultured bacterium
Lineage: Bacteria
Description: partial 16S ribosomal RNA
Rfam family: Bacterial small subunit ribosomal RNA
Source: RNAcentral